This 157-nucleotide small nucleolar RNA is filed under the name Ornithorhynchus anatinus (platypus). The record is from RNAcentral. Lineage: Eukaryota; Metazoa; Chordata; Mammalia; Monotremata; Ornithorhynchidae.
CCCUUCUCAGGAUCGCAUCUGGAGAGUUUCCAGUACUCUACCAGUCUCGGCUAUGGGAGGGAGAGUGAAGCAGAGGCAUAGCCUUUCCAUUCCUAGCUUGGGCAGUGGCUAGUGACUUGGGCAGUGGCUAGUGAGUGGAAGGCAAUCUGCUACCCGU